AGUGAACGCUGGCGGUAGGCCUAACACAUGCAAGUCGAACGGCAGCACAGUAAGAGCUUGCUCUUACGGGUGGCGAGUGGCGGACGGGUGAGGAAUACAUCGGACUCUACUUUUUCGUGGGGGAUAACGUAGGGAAACUUACGCUAAUACCGCAUACGACCUACGGGUGAAAGCAGGGGAUCUUCGGACCUUGCGCGAUUGAAUGAGCCGCUGUCGGAUUAGCUAGUUGGCGGGGUAAAGGCCCACCAAGGCGACGAUCCGUAGCCGGUCUGAGAGGAUGAUCAGCCACACUGGAACUGAGACACGGUCCAGACUCCUACGGGAGGCAGCAGUGGGGAAUAUUGGACAAUGGGCGCAAGCCUGAUCCAGCCAUACCGCGUGGGUGAAGAAGGCCUUCGGGUUGUAAAGCCCUUUUGUUGGGAAAGAAAAGCAGCAGGUUAAUACCCCGCUGUUCUGACGGUACCCAAAGAAUAAGCACCGGCUAACUUCGUG
RNAcentral lists this ribosomal RNA (492 nucleotides) under uncultured bacterium. RNAcentral's name for it is "partial 16S ribosomal RNA". It matches the Rfam family "Bacterial small subunit ribosomal RNA", at positions 29 to 507 of the family's 1533-position model. The record is from RNAcentral.